This 301-nucleotide ribosomal RNA is filed under the name uncultured bacterium. RNAcentral's name for it is "partial 16S ribosomal RNA". It matches the Rfam family "Bacterial small subunit ribosomal RNA", at positions 509 to 810 of the family's 1533-position model. The record is from RNAcentral.
CAGUCGCCGCGGUAAUACGUAUGUCACAAGCGUUACCCGGAUUUAUUGGGCGUAAAGCGCGUCUAGGUGGUUAUGUAAGUCUGAUGUGAAAAUGCAGGGCUCAACUCUGUAUUGCGUUGGAAACUGCGUAACUAGAGUACUGGAGAGGUAAGCGGAACUACAAGUGUAGAGGUGAAAUUCGUAGAUAUUUGUAGGAAUGCCGAUGGGGAAGCCAGCUUACUGGACAGAUACUGACGCUGAAGCGCGAAAGCGUGGGUAGCAAACAGGAUUAGAUACCCGCGUAGUCCCUGUCUCUUAUACU